CGGCAGCGCGCGCCUCCUCCCUCUCCUCCGGUCGCGCGCGCCUCCUUCUUCUCCUCCGGUCGCGCGCCGCCUACCUCUCCUCCGGUCGCGUGCCCCUCCUGCACUCUCGCCGAGCCUCUUCACGUCUACAGAAAAAAGGUCCCUCCCUCUUUUCACGCAAUCCCUAAAUCCUUGCUGAAGCUCAAAUCGUCGUCGCACUGCUGGAAGCUCUCAACUCAGGAACAACGGUUCACUGCUGAAGCCCACCGCUGUCGCUGCCGCCGUCGCACUGCUUGAAGCACUGCCGCAGGUACCUUCUUCAUUUGUGUUUAUUUUUCCCUGCUGCUGUGAGACUCUACUUUCCUCUCGGUUUUGGUUAAGCUCUUAUU
Molecule: long non-coding RNA, 368 nt
Organism: Lotus japonicus
Lineage: Eukaryota; Viridiplantae; Streptophyta; Magnoliopsida; Fabales; Fabaceae
Exons: 3
Source: RefSeq, a predicted model, not a curated record